Molecule: ribosomal RNA, 594 nt
Filed under: uncultured bacterium
Lineage: Bacteria
Description: bacterial SSU rRNA
Rfam family: Bacterial small subunit ribosomal RNA
Source: RNAcentral
CCUACGGGAGGCAGCAGUGAGGAAUUUUCCGCAAUGGGCGAAAGCCUGACGGAGCAAUACCGCGUGAGGGAUGAAGGAUUUUGGUCUGUAAACCUCUUUUCUCAAGAAAGAAGUUCUGACGGUACUUGAGGAAUAAGCAUCGGCUAACUCCGUGCCAGCAGCCGCGGUAAUACGGGGGGAUGCAAGCGUUAUCCGGAAUGAUUGGGCGUAAAGCGCCUGUAGGUUGUUUAUUAAGUCCGUUGUUAAAGCCUAGGGCUCAACCCUAGAAAAGCAAUGGAAACUAGUAGACUAGAGUAUGGCAGGGGUAGAGGGAAUUUCUAGUGUAGCGGUGAAAUGCGUAGAUAUUAGAAAGAACACCGGUGGCGAAAGCGCUCUACUGGACCAUUACUGACACUCAGAGGCGAAAGCUAGGGUAGCAAAAGGGAUUAGAUACCCCUGUAGUCCUAGCCGUAAACGAUGGAUACUAGAUGUUGUGCAUUAUGUACAGUAUCGUAGCUAACGCGUUAAGUAUCCGCCUGGGGAGUACGCUCGCAAGGGUGAAACUCAAAUGAAUUGACGGCUGAAGGACGUGCGACGACGACGACGAGGAGGAGG